Molecule: non-coding RNA, 80 nt
Organism: Selaginella moellendorffii
Lineage: Eukaryota; Viridiplantae; Streptophyta; Lycopodiopsida; Selaginellales; Selaginellaceae
Source: Rfam
CACCGAGGCUUAGUUGGAUAGAGCACCAGACUGGAAAUCUGGUGGCUAUAUCUUUUUCUCAGGUUCGAAACCCGGCAGUG